GGAUGAAGGUCUUCGGAUUGUAAACUGCUGUCGGCUGGGAAAAAAAGUCUCCGAUUAAUAAUUGGAGAUCUUGAUGGUACCAGCAAAGGAAGCCACGGCUAACUCUGUGCCAGCAGCCGCGGUAAUACAGAGGUGGCAAGCGUUGUUCGGAUUUAUUGGGCGUAAAGGGUCCGUAGGCGGUUUGAAAAGUCAGAUGUGAAAGCCCACAGCUCAACUGUGGAACUGCAUUUGAAACUUUCAGACUAGAGUAUGAGAGGGGUUAAGGGAAUUCCCGGUGUAAGGGUGAAAUCUGCAGAGAUCGGGAGGAACACCAGUCGCGAAGGCGCUUAACUGGCUCAUUACUGACGCUCAGGGACGAAAGCUAGGGUAGCAAACGGGAUUAGAUACCCCCGUAGUCC
RNAcentral lists this ribosomal RNA (398 nucleotides) under uncultured bacterium. Its description in RNAcentral is "bacterial SSU rRNA". It matches the Rfam family "Bacterial small subunit ribosomal RNA", at positions 406 to 796 of the family's 1533-position model. The record is from RNAcentral.